This 199-nucleotide ribosomal RNA is filed under the name uncultured bacterium. RNAcentral describes it as "partial 16S ribosomal RNA". It matches the Rfam family "Bacterial small subunit ribosomal RNA", at positions 328 to 539 of the family's 1533-position model. The record is from RNAcentral.
ACGCUCGACACCUACGGGAGGUAGCAGUGGGGAAUAUUGCACAAUGGGGGAAACCCUGAUGCAGCGACGCCGCGUGGAGGAAGAAGGUCUUCGGAUUGUAAACUCCUGUUGUUGGGGAAAAAGAGGAUGGUACCCAACAAGGAAGUGACGGCUAACUACGUGCCAGCAGCCGACGGUAAUCUGAGCGGGCUGGCAAGGC